GAUGAACGCUGGCGGCGUGCCUAAUACAUGCAAGUCGAACGAGUUUUGGUCGAUGAACGGUGCUUGCAUCGUGAUUCAACUUAAAACGAGUGGCGGACGGGUGAGUAACACGUGGGUAACCUGCCCUUAAGUGGGGGACAACAUUUGGAAACAGAUGCUAAUACCGCAUAAAUCCAAGAACCGCAUGGUUCUUGGCUGAAAGAUGGCGUAAGCUAUCGCUUUUGGAUGGACCCGCGGCGUAUUAGCUAGUUGGUGAGGUAACGGCUCACCAAGGCCAUGAUACGUAGCCGAACUGAGAGGUUGAUCGGCCACAUUGGGACUGAGACACGGCCCAAACUCCUACGGGAGGCAGCAGUAGGGAAUCUUCCACAAUGGACGCAAGUCUGAUGGAGCAACGCCGCGUGAGUGAAGAAGGCUUUCGGGUCGUAAAACUCUGUUGUUGGAGAAGAAUGGUCGGCAGAGUAACUGUUGUCGGCGUGACGGUAUCCAACCAGAAAGCCACGGCUAACUACGUGCCAGCAGCCGCGGUAAUACGUAGGUGGCAAGCGUUAUCCGGAUUUAUUGGGCGUAAAGCGAGCGCAGGCGGUUUUUUAAGUCUGAUGUGAAAGCCCUCGGCUUAACCGAGGAAGCGCAUCGGAAACUGGGAAACUUGAGUGCAGAAGAGGACAGUGGAACUCCAUGUGUAGCGGUGAAAUGCGUAGAUAUAUGGAAGAACACCAGUGGCGAAGGCGGCUGUCUGGUCUGUAACUGACGCUGAGGCUCGAAAGCAUGGGUAGCGAACAGG
Molecule: ribosomal RNA, 784 nt
Filed under: Lacticaseibacillus zeae
Lineage: Bacteria; Bacillati; Bacillota; Bacilli; Lactobacillales; Lactobacillaceae
Description: bacterial SSU rRNA
Rfam family: Bacterial small subunit ribosomal RNA
Source: RNAcentral